CCUAACCGACGGAAGGACGGGCGAUUACCACGGCAGGGUUCGUGACUGGGGUG
RNAcentral lists this ribosomal RNA (53 nucleotides) under uncultured bacterium. RNAcentral describes it as "partial 16S ribosomal RNA". The record is from RNAcentral.